GAUGAACGCUGGCGGCGUGCCUAAUACAUGCAAGUAGAACGCUGAAGCUUGGUGCUUGCACCGAGCGGAUGAGUUGCGAACGGGUGAGUCACGUGUAGGUAAUCUGCUUCUUAGCGGGGGAUAACUAGUGGAAACGAUAGCUAAUACCGCAUAAAAGCCGAUAUCGCAUGAUAUUGAUUUGAAAGGUGCCAAUGCAUGAUUAAGAGGUGGACCUGCGUUGUAUUAGCUAGUUGGUGAGGUAACGGCGCACGAAGGCGGGGUUAUAUAGCCGACCUGAUAGGAUGAGCGGCCACACUGGGACGGAGACAGGGCCCAGACUGCUGCAGGUGGGAGCAGGAGGGCAACGGCAGGAAUGGGGGCAGACCUGAGCGAGCAACGCGGCGUGAGUGAAGAAGGAUGCCGGGUGGGGGAGCUCUGUUGUAGGGGAGGAACGCGUGUGAGAGUGGAACGUACAGAGUGUGACGGUAACUGACCAGAAAGCAACGGCUAACUACGUG
RNAcentral lists this ribosomal RNA (497 nucleotides) under uncultured bacterium. RNAcentral's name for it is "partial 16S ribosomal RNA". It matches the Rfam family "Bacterial small subunit ribosomal RNA", at positions 28 to 507 of the family's 1533-position model. The record is from RNAcentral.